AACAUCCUUAUCUCAGUAAUUGAUCUCUUUGGCUGCUCUGAGACUAGCUGGGAAUGAACCAAGAGUGAAUGAGUGCACAGAUGUGGGCAGAGUUUUCAAAAAGAUUUUGAGGCAGCCGGUGGGCUCCGAAACAAAACAGAGGUCACUGGAUCCGAUUCCCAGUACCAUAGAAGUGACUCAGACCAGCGAUUCAACCGACAAGCGGGAUCCGGGCCACCCAAAGCCGCGCGAGAGUUUACGUGACGACAUGGGCGUCAGCGUCACGGAGGCGUCGGCCACGUUCAGCGGACACGGGAGCAAGAUGGCGAUUCCGGGCAGGCAACCUCUGUGAGUGAAAGCCUUCAGAGGGAAGCUGCUAAGAAGCAGGCCAUGAAACAGACCAAACUGGAAAUCCAGAAGGCCCUUGCAGAAGAUGCUACUGUGUAUGAAUAUGACAGUAUUUAUGAUGAAAUGCAGAAAAAAAAGGAGGAAAAUAAUCCCAAAUUGCUUUUGGGGAAAGACAGAAAGCCCAAGUAUAUUCACAACUUGCUAAAAGCAGUUGAGAUCAGAAAAAAGGAACAGGAAAAAAGAAUGGAAAAGAAAAUACAGAGAGAACGAGAAAUGGAAAAGGGGGAGUUUGAUGAUAAAGAAGCAUUUGUGACAUCUGCAUAUAAGAAAAAACUGCAAGAGAGAGCUGAAGAAGAAGAAAGAGAAAAGAGGGCUGCUGCACUGGAAGCAUGUUUGGAUGUAACCAAGCAGAAAGAUCUCAGUGGAUUUUAUAGGCACCUAUUAAAUCAAGCAGUUGGUGAAGAGGAAGUACCUAAAUGCAGCUUUCGUGAAGCCAGAUCUGGUAUAAAGGAAGAAAAAUCAAGGGGCUUCUCCAAUGAAGUAAGUUCAAAAAACAGAAUACCACAAGAGAAAUGCAUUCUUCAAACUGAUGUGAAAGUAGAGGAAAACCCAGAUGCAGACAGUGACUUCGAUGCUAAGAGCAGUGCGGAUGAUGAAAUAGAAGAAACUAGAGUGAACUGCAGAAGGGAAAAGGUCAUAGAGACCCCUGAGAAUGACUUCAAGCACCACAGGAGUCAAAACUACUCUCGGUCACCUAGUGAAGAAAGAGGGCACAGUACCAGACACCACACGAAAGGAUCACGAACGUCGAGAGGACAUGAGAAAAGGGAAGAUCAGCACCAACAGAAGCAAUCCAGAGACCAAGAGAACCAUUACACUGACCGUGAUUACCGGAAAGAAAGGGAUUCUCAUAGGCACAGAGAGGCCAGUCAUAGAGAUUCCCAAUGGAAGAGGCAUGAACAGGAAGAUAAACCAAGGGCGAGGGACCAAAGAGAAAGAAGUGACAGAGUAUGGAAAAGGGAGAAAGAUAGGGAGAAAUAUUCCCAAAGAGAACAAGAAAGAGAUAGACAACAAAAUGAUCAGAACCGACCCAGUGAGAAAGGAGAGAAGGAAGAGAAAAGCAAAGCAAAGGAAGAGCAUAUGAAAGGAAGGAAGGAAAGAUAUGAAAAUAAUGAUAAAUACAGAGAUAGAGAAAAACGAGAGGUAGGUGUUCAGUCUUCAGAAAGAAAUCGAGACAGAAAGGAAAGCAGCCCAAAUUCUAGGGCAAAGGAUAAAUUUCUUGACCAAGAAAGAUCCAACAAAAUGAGAAACAUGGCAAAGGACAAAGAAAGAAACCAAGAGAAACCCUCUAAUUCUGAAUCAUCACUGGGAGCAAAACACAGACUCACAGAGGAAAGGCAAGAGAAGGGUAAAGAACAAGAGAGACCACCUGAGGCAGUGAGCAAGUUUGCAAAGCGGAACAAUGAAGAAACUGUAAUGUCAGCUAGAGACAGGUACUUGGCCAGGCAGAUGGCGCGGGUUAAUGCAAAGACCUAUAUUGAGAAAGAAGAUGAUUGAUGGCUACCCCAAGAGAAAGAUUUAAGGAAGCACAGAAAACUGUAAUUCCUGGAACCUGCUGCGUAAAACCAUAAAGGAGUGUGUUACCAGUAGUUUGGAGGGCAUUUUUAAAUUUAUUUUCAAAAUUUUAAGUUAAAAGUCAGUCUUACAGCUUGGAUGUUUGGAUGUGGAUG
This 2057-nucleotide small RNA is filed under the name Pan troglodytes (chimpanzee). RNAcentral describes it as "processed transcript". Lineage: Eukaryota; Metazoa; Chordata; Mammalia; Primates; Hominidae. The record is from RNAcentral.